This 573-nucleotide ribosomal RNA is filed under the name Acinetobacter baumannii. RNAcentral describes it as "bacterial SSU rRNA". It matches the Rfam family "Bacterial small subunit ribosomal RNA", at positions 286 to 850 of the family's 1533-position model. Lineage: Bacteria; Pseudomonadati; Pseudomonadota; Gammaproteobacteria; Moraxellales; Moraxellaceae. The record is from RNAcentral.
GCGGGUCUGAGAGGAUGAUCCGCCACACUGGGACUGAGACACGGCCCAGACUCCUACGGGAGGCAGCAGUGGGGAAUAUUGGACAAUGGGGGGAACCCUGAUCCAGCCAUGCCGCGUGUGUGAAGAAGGCCUUAUGGUUGUAAAGCACUUUAAGCGAGGAGGAGGCUACUCUAGUUAAUACCUAGAGAUAGUGGACGUUACUCGCAGAAUAAGCACCGGCUAACUCUGUGCCAGCAGCCGCGGUAAUACAGAGGGUGCGAGCGUUAAUCGGAUUUACUGGGCGUAAAGCGUGCGUAGGCGGCUUAUUAAGUCGGAUGUGAAAUCCCCGAGCUUAACUUGGGAAUUGCAUUCGAUACUGGUGAGCUAGAGUAUGGGAGAGGAUGGUAGAAUUCCAGGUGUAGCGGUGAAAUGCGUAGAGAUCUGGAGGAAUACCGAUGGCGAAGGCAGCCAUCUGGCCUAAUACUGACGCUGAGGUACGAAAGCAUGGGGAGCAAACAGGAUUAGAUACCCUGGUAGUCCAUGCCGUAAACGAUGUCUACUAGCCGUUGGGGCCUUUGAGGCUUUAGUGGCGCA